GGAGAGAUGCAAGAGUGGUUGAAUUGGCACGCCUGGAAAGCGUGUGUACUCCAAAAGGGUACCGGGGGUUCGAAUCCCCCUCUCUCCG
RNAcentral lists this transfer RNA (88 nucleotides) under Paludibacteraceae bacterium. RNAcentral describes it as "tRNA-Ser". It matches the Rfam family "tRNA". Rfam says of the family: Transfer RNA (tRNA) molecules are approximately 80 nucleotides in length. Their secondary structure includes four short double-helical elements and three loops (D, anti-codon, and T loops). The record is from RNAcentral. Lineage: Bacteria; Pseudomonadati; Bacteroidota; Bacteroidia; Bacteroidales; Paludibacteraceae.